This 24-nucleotide non-coding RNA is filed under the name Arabidopsis thaliana (thale cress). The record is from RNAcentral. Lineage: Eukaryota; Viridiplantae; Streptophyta; Magnoliopsida; Brassicales; Brassicaceae.
CUCCAAUGGUAAGAGCCAAUGAGU